Molecule: long non-coding RNA, 597 nt
Organism: Brienomyrus brachyistius
Lineage: Eukaryota; Metazoa; Chordata; Actinopteri; Osteoglossiformes; Mormyridae
Exons: 3
Source: RefSeq, a predicted model, not a curated record
UGAUUCGUGACCAAAAAUUUCGUGAAAGAAGUACAUUGGUUCCCGAACAAAAUUUGGUCGACGAAUAGAUUCUUCGGCCAGCGGAGCGCAUGUCCCAGCAUGCCCCGCGCGCAAUUGUAAAUAGAAGGACAACAGACACCAAUGAGGACCAAACCGAAAUAUACAGACGGGAAACGCAAGGACUUUCCGUUACGGGCGACCGCUCCUCCUGGAAACUGCCACACCAGCUCUGCUCUCUAAAGUCAGCCCGUGCGGAGUUUGACGGGACAGGCCCCAAGCCGCAGGAAGCAGUGCAUCGUGGGGCGAGGAGCUACCUGGGCUGUUCAGGGAUCAGCCUCUUGAACCAGCUAUUCACUGCGACGUCUACUCGCAUGACCAAGGUAAAGCUGAGAAGGAUGAACACGCUGGAUACAACGAAUCCGGACGCCUCGAACAUCAACCUGCAGGGAAAGUGUACAGUGUGUUACAGUGCAUCUACACUCACUCCACUAUUAUGCCAUUUGAGCAUUAUAUGGUCAAAUAAACGCUGAUGUAAUAGACUCACUUGGGUGCAAAGACCUUCCACACCAUGAGGUGCCUCCUGAGAACAGCUGCAGC